RNAcentral lists this ribosomal RNA (483 nucleotides) under uncultured bacterium. RNAcentral describes it as "partial 16S ribosomal RNA". It matches the Rfam family "Bacterial small subunit ribosomal RNA", at positions 30 to 506 of the family's 1533-position model. The record is from RNAcentral.
AUUGAACGCUGGCGGCAGGCCUAACACAUGCAAGUCGAGCGGAUGAAGGGAGCUUGCUCCUGGCUUCAGCUGCGGACGGGUGAGUAAUGCCUAGGAAUCUGCCUGGUAGUUGGGGAUAACGUCCGGAAACGGGCGCUAAUACCGCAUACGUCCUGAUGGAGAAAGUGGGGGAUCUUCGGACCUCACGCUAUCAGAUGAGCCUAGGUCGGAUUAGCUAGUUGGUGGGGUAAAGGCCUACCAAGGCGACGAUCCGUAACUGGUCUGAGAGGAUGAUCAGUCACACUGGAACUGAGAACCGGUCCAGACUCCUACGGGAGGCAGCAGUGGGGAAUAUUGGACAAUGGGCGAAAGCCUGCUCCAGCCAUGCCGCGUGUGUGAAGAAGGUCUUCGGAUUGUAAAGCACUUUAAGUUGGGAGGAAGGGCAGUAAGUUAAUACCUUGCUGUUUUGACGUUACCAACAGAAUAAGCACCGGCUAACUUCGU